GAGUUUGAUCCUGGCUCAGGAUGAACGCUAGCGGCAGGCCUAACACAUGCAAGUCGAGGGGUAGAGCUACUUUAGUAGUUUGAGACCGGCGCACGGGUGCGUAACGCGUAUGCAAUCUACCUUAUACAGAGGGAUAGCCCAGAGAAAUUUGGAUUAAUACCUCAUAGUAUAUUUGAGUGGCAUCAUUUAGAUAUUAAAGAUUUAUCGGUAUAAGAUGAGCAUGCGUCCCAUUAGUUAGUUGGUGUGGUAACGGCAUACCAAGACGAUGAUGGGUAGGGGUCCUGAGAGGGAGAUCCCCCACACUGGUACUGAGACACGGACCAGACUCCUACGGGAGGCAGCAGUGAGGAAUAUUGGUCAAUGGAGGCAACUCUGAACCAGCCAUGCCGCGUGCAGGAAGAAUGUCCUAUGGAUUGUAAACUGCUUUUGUACGGGAAGAAAACGUGCUAUGUAUAGCAAACUGACGGUACCGUAAGAAUAAGGAUCGGCUAACUCCGUGCCAGCAGCCGCGGUAAUACGGAGGAUCCGAGCGUUAUCCGGAAUCAUUGGGUUUAAAGGGUCCGUAGGCGGGAUUAUAAGUCAGUGGUGAAAGUUUGCAGCUUAACUGUAAAAUUGCCAUUGAUACUGUAGUUCUUGAAUUUUUGUGAAGUAACUAGAAUAUGUAGUGUAGCGGUGAAAUGCAUAGAUAUUACAUGGAAUACCAAUUGCGAAGGCAGGUUACUAACAAAGGAUUGACGCUGAUGGACGAAAGCGUGGGUAGCGAACAGGAUUAGAUACCCUGGUAGUCCACGCUGUAAACGAUGGAUACUAGCUGUUUGGUUUUCGGACUGAGUGGCUAAGCGAAAGUGAUAAGUAUCCCACCUGGGGAGUACGCACGCAAGUGUGAAACUCAAAGGAAUUGACGGGGGCCCGCACAAGCGGUGGAGCAUGUGGUUUAAUUCGAUGAUACGCGAGGAACCUUACCAGGGCUUAAAUGUAGAUUGACUUAUUUGGAAACAGAUAUUUCUUCGGACAAUUUACAAGGUGCUGCAUGGUUGUCGUCAGCUCGUGCCGUGAGGUGUCAGGUUAAGUCCUAUAACGAGCGCAACCCCUGUUGUUAGUUGCCAACGAGUGAUGUCGGGAACUCUAGCAAGACUGCCGGUGUAAACCGUGAGGAAGGUGGGGAUGACGUCAAAUCAUCACGGCCCUUACGUCCUGGGCCACACACGUGCUACAAUGGCCGGUACAGAGAGCAGCCACUUGGUGACAAGGAGCGAAUCUAUAAAGCCGGUCACAGUUCGGAUUGGAGUCUGCAACUCGACUCUAUGAAGCUGGAAUCGCUAGUAAUCGGAUAUCAGCCAUGAUCCGGUGAAUACGUUCCCGGGCCUUGUACACACCGCCCGUCAAGCCAUGGAAGCUGGGGGUACCUGAAGUCGGUGACCGCAAGGAGCUGCCUAGGGUAAAACUGGUAACUGGGGCUAAGUCGUAACAAGGU
RNAcentral lists this ribosomal RNA (1474 nucleotides) under Capnocytophaga sp. canine oral taxon 339. Its description in RNAcentral is "bacterial SSU rRNA". It matches the Rfam family "Bacterial small subunit ribosomal RNA". Lineage: Bacteria; Pseudomonadati; Bacteroidota; Flavobacteriia; Flavobacteriales; Flavobacteriaceae. The record is from RNAcentral.